Molecule: small RNA, 258 nt
Filed under: Mesobacillus foraminis
Lineage: Bacteria; Bacillati; Bacillota; Bacilli; Caryophanales; Bacillaceae
Description: Bacillus foraminis BsrG
Rfam family: BsrG
About the family: bsrE, bsrG and bsrH pair through intermolecular interactions with antisense sRNAs. SR4 interaction with the 3'UTR of bsrG RNA promotes bsrG degradation and inhibits its translation. SR5 also overlaps bsrG from nucleotide 163 to 52 (Rfam overlap check).
Source: Rfam by way of RNAcentral
AGCAAUAGAAUAGGUGUCUCAAGGGUGGUCAGCUCAUCCCCGAUCAGAAAGGGGGUGGUGCUGCAUGACAGUGUUUGAAGCUUUGACGUUUGCUUGUACGUUUACAAGCUUGAUUCUCGCUGUACUGUCGUUUAACCACAAAAAAUAAUCCACCCUUGAGCCUGCAAGCAUAAGGUGGAUUAUUCCUACUUUAUUGCUGACGCCCUUGUAAGGGACCGUCUAUUGCAUCGACCGUUUUGGUGUUACCAGCACCAGACG